ACCCGUUCUCAUCAGUCUGCGUAUAAAUAACACGACUUUACACUUUCUAUUUGCGUGUAAUGCAUACGCCAAAUGCCAUUUUUGCGUGCAUAUGAUACGCCAAUCCUUCCCAUUAAUUUCGGUGGAGAGCAGAUGCGUCCAAAUAACACGCAUCAUCUUCAGCGGCAGUGACGUCACCAGCGAGGCUCGUUCAGUUCACCUGAUGCGCGUACACCUUCAAACAGAAUUAACAGGGAACUUCAACUCCACGCUCCCAGUGCUGAUAUUGAAGAAGCUGUCAAGGGGGCUGAACAAGUCCUUCAAAGGAUCAACCCUUCACAGGAAGGCCUGUCAUGAGAUUUGAAUUUGACCAUCUUGUGCAUUUAUGAAGAAGACCAAAAGCUGCAAAGGCAAACACUUCCAAUGGCAGAAACUGAGAGUUUGCAUGAUGGCAUUUUCUCAGACGCUGAAUCUGAUGUGUACAGAUGAACUCAAGAGCCUACUAGAGUUGCCAAGGAACUUGUGCUUGAACUGAAGACCAGAAACGCAAAGAAAAUCAGUCAAACCAGUCCUAAAGAAAUGAGGAAUGAACAUGGACUUCUUGUGCCCCAAAAGAAAAGACAGAAAGCUCCUAAAAUGAGCAAAUAAGCUGUGCAUCAUCUCUGUGAUUUGGGAAGGAAAUGACUGAAUAUGAUGAAGCCAGUUGAUGAAGAUAUCAAUUGAAUGGCCACCGAGUGCAUCACUGCUACCUGAACCCAUCAGUUAUCUUCUGUGAAAACUGCAUUCACAAACCGCUCUACUGCGACAGUUCAGAUGUUACGGCCUGUAAAAGUAAACCUCACAGCUAAACAACGAGAGCUAGUUGUGGUGGGAUUCUUUUGGCCAAUAUCCCCAACAAGAAUCAAUGUUAAGUCCAGUGCAACAAUUAUAAAUAAAAAUACUAUAUAUUGUUUAUUGAUUUACCAUACCCUAAAUACAUGUUUUGGCCCUCCAGGACAUCUAGACCAGGUGGAGUGUGAGGAGGACCGUCAGAGACUCCAGCCAGCCGAGCCAUGGAUUGCUCUCACUGUUACCAUCAGGCAGACGUUAUCACAGAACCUACACCAGCAGACAGUGAGACAAGUUCCUUUCACAGGCAAUCAGACUGAACUGAGCUCAUACCAGUAAAACCAUACACACCCCACCAACCUCAUAUGCCCUGCACUCUUAUCAGUUAUGCUGACAGGACUCAAUAUUAUUAUGCACCCUGACAUUCUGUUUGCACUAAUUCAUACCGUGCUUUACUGCAGAGAUGUAUGUGUACUGUGAUUAUUAUUGUUUUCAAUUCAUGCUCUCUGUAUAGCAUAAUUUUUAACAUAUAUUGUUCUCUACCUGAAUUGAGUCCCUUAUAUAUGUGUGUUGCAUAUAUAUAUUCAUAAUUUGUAUUUCAUAUAUAUUCAUGAAUUAAUUCAUUUGUCAUCCAUACUGUCACGCUGCAGUCUGCACCCAAGACUUUCAUCACCUGUAUACUUGUGUUCAUUGUAUUGUGACAAUAAAGAUAUUUGAUUUAAAUUA
This is a long non-coding RNA of Carassius gibelio (silver crucian carp), 1533 nucleotides long. RefSeq lists it as uncharacterized. The record is from RefSeq and is a predicted model, not a curated record. The transcript has 7 exons. NCBI's taxonomy places the organism in Eukaryota, Metazoa, Chordata, Actinopteri, Cypriniformes, Cyprinidae.